Molecule: ribosomal RNA, 96 nt
Filed under: uncultured bacterium
Lineage: Bacteria
Description: partial 16S ribosomal RNA
Rfam family: Bacterial small subunit ribosomal RNA
Source: RNAcentral
CACACCGCCCGUCACACCAUGAAAGCCUAUUGUACCAGAAGUCAUUGUGCUAACCGUAAGGGGCAGAUGCCUAAGGUAUGGUCGGUGAUUGGGGUG